UGGAUCUCAGCGGGAAUAGAUCGGUGGGAUCAAAGGAUAGCUCAGGCUGGUAAAGCCUGUUAUUAAGAACACAGAAGCCUGCAAUUACUGCAGGUUCAAGCCCGGCCCAAGGUUGACUCAGCCUUCCAUCCUUUAUAAGCUGAAAAGCAAACUCAUCUUGGGAGCCCACUUUUGGGAGUAAGCAUGGAAGGAGCAGAAAUUAUUACUAACAUCUCUAUUCAAUAGUGACUCUCAGAAAGGUAAGUUAUUGCAAGCUGUGAAUGUUGAGACAAAUUGGAACGAACUGCCCCCAGGACUUCGUCAGCUUCCGGACCUUCGGACCUUCCGCCGCGAGCUUAAAACAUACUUAUUUAAUUGCGCAGGACUGAGCUAGAUUUUAAUUUACGGGUUUUAAAUUGGGUUUUAUUCUUAUAUUUUUAAUUAUUAGGCUUUUAGAAUAAGUUUUUUAAUUGUUUUUAGACUGUAUUUAUCUGUUUUUAAAUGCCUGUAAACCGCCCUGAGU
Molecule: long non-coding RNA, 502 nt
Organism: Ahaetulla prasina
Lineage: Eukaryota; Metazoa; Chordata; Lepidosauria; Squamata; Colubridae
Exons: 3
Source: RefSeq, a predicted model, not a curated record